GACCUACACCACAGCCACAGCAAUGCAGGCUACAAGCCACAUCUGCAGUCUAUGCUUCUGCUCACAGCAACACCAGAUCCUUAACUCACUGAGCAGGGCCAGGGAUAAAACCUGCAUCCUCACGGAUGCUAGUCAGGUUCGCUAAUGGCUGAGCUACAACAGGAACUCCUGUUGAGCGUAAUUCUUUAAUGAAUAUGUUUCUACAGAGUUUUUAGUUUCCAGCAGGUGGAAUGGUUCUAACACAUCCUAUCCUGACUCCAGAGAUGGCUAUAGAUUUAGUCUUGAAAAAGAAGAGACAGGCAGUCAGAAAAAAUCUAAUACUGAUGUGAAGUUAAAGUUCUGAAAUCUAGAGUUCACAUCGUGGCUCAGCAGUUAACGAACCUGACUAGUAUCCGUGAGGACGCAGGUUCGAUCCCUGGCUUUGCUCAGUGGGUUAAGGAUCUGGCAGUUGCCAUGAGCUGUGGUGUAGGUCACGGAUGUGGUUCAGAUCCCGUGUUGCUGUGGCUGUGGUGUAGGCCGGCAGCUGUAGUUCUGAUUGGACUGUUAGCCUGGGAACCUCCAUAUGCCACAGGUGCAGCCCUCAAAAGAGAAAAGUUCUGAAAUCUUAGAAUCCAUGUGUUGGGAGUUCCCAUCAUGUCUCAGUGGUUAAUGAAUCCGAUUAGGAAACAUGAGGUUGCGGGUUUGAUCCCUGCCCUCACUCAGUGGGUUACGGAUCCGGCGCGGCUGUGAGCUAUGGUGUAGGUUGCAGAUGUGGCUUGGACCCCGAGUUGCUGUGGCUGUGGUAUGGGCCAGUGGCUACAGCUCCGAUUACACCCCUAGCCUGGGAACCUCCAUGUGCCACAGGAGCAGCCCAAAAAAUGUCAAGACAAGACAAAAAAAAAAAAAAAAAAAAGAAUCCAGGUGUUGGAGAUACUGGAGGAAGAGGAGAGUAAAAAAAUCCUAAUUAGCACCAGGGAAGUUUAGUAACAGAACACCUUAUUUUGGUUCAUUUAGGCUGCUGUGACAAGUCCCAAGACUGAGCAGCUUCAGCAACACACACUUAUUUCUCCCAAUUCUGGAGACUGGAAAUAUCAAGACCAAGGAAGCCUGCAGAUGCAGGGUCUAUUGAAGCCCACCUCCCAGUUCAGAGACGGCCAACUUCUCCUUAUAUCUGCAGAUGACAGAAGGUGAGGGAGCUCUGUGGGGUCUCCUCUAUUCGAGCACUAAUCCCAUUCAUGAGGGCUCCACCCUCGCGACCUAAUUACUUUCCAAAGAUUCCACCUCUUCUACCAUCCCACUGGGGGUCAGGAGGUCAACACAUGAACCUGGAGUGGGGUGGACACAUUCAAUCUUUUGUAUUCUACCCUUGGCCCCAUAAGAUUCAGUCCAUCUCACAUGCAAAACACAUCCAUUUUGGAUUAAGAUGAUGUACAAUGGAAUAUUACUCAGCCAUGAAAAGGAACAAAAUAAUGCCAUUUACAGCAACAUGGAUGAAACUAGAGAUUAUCACACUAAGUGAAGUCAGUCAGAAAGAAAGGAAAAUACCACAUGAUAUCACUUAGAUGUGGAAUCUAAAAUAUGGCACCAGAGUUCCCAUUGUGACUCAGCAGAAACAAAUCUGACUAGCAUCCAUGAGGACACAGGUUUGAUCCCUGGCCUUGCUCUGUGGGUUAAGGAUCCGGCAUUGAAGUGAGCUGUGGCAUAGGUCACAGAGGCAGCUGGAAUCCCACAUUGCUGUGGCUUACACAGGUCAUUGUCUACAGCUCCAGUUCGACCCCCAGCCUGGGAACCUCCAUGUGCCGCAAGUGUGGCUCUAAAAAGACAAAAAAUAAAACACGGCACAAAUGAACCUGUCUACAAAACAGAAAAAGACUCGCUGACAUAAAGAACACACUUGUGGCUGCUGAGGGGGAGGGGGAGGGAGUGGGAUGGACGGGGAGUUCGGAGUCAGCGGAUGUAACCUAUUCCACUUCGAGUGGGUGAGCAACGAGGUCCUGCUGUACAGCGCAGGGAACUAGAUCCCAUCUCCUGGGAUAGACAGUGAUGGCAAAGACUAUUAAUAAAAGAACAUAGAUACACACGUCACUUUGCUGUACACAUCCAUGAGGACAUGGGCUCAAUCCCUGGCCUCGCUCAGUGGGUUAAGGAUCCAGGGCUGCCAUGAGCUGUGGUGUAGGUCAUAGACACAGUUUGGAUCCCACAUUGCUGUGGCUGUGGCGAAGGCUGGCAGCUGUCGCUCCGAUUGUACCCCUAGCCUGGGAACCUCCAUAUGCUGCAGGCACGGCCCUGAAAAGACAAAAACAAAAGCAAACAAAACAAACAAUAGCCCAAACAUCCAUUUCACCCCAACAGCCCCCAAAGCAAAGACUUAACUCAUCCCAACAUCAACUAUCAAGUCCCAAGUCGCAUCUCAAUACCAUCUACAGUUAGUGGGAUUGGGUGAGACUUAAGGUACAUUUCAUCCAGAGGCCAAAUUCCUCUCCAGCUAUGAGCCUAUGAAUCCAAAAAAGUUAGGUGCUUCCAAAAUAUAAUGGCACAGGCAUAGGACAGGUCUCCUUCCUUCCAAAGGAGAGAGAUAAGAAAGGGUGACAGGUCUGAAACGAAAUCUAGCCAGGCGAGCUCCGAGGGAUCUGAAAACACAAGCUAGACCUCCCUGGUUUGAUCCUCUGCCUUCCAGACCCACCGGCAUCUCUCCUAUCCCUUGGCCACGCGCUGCCCCGCCGAGCUCUCUGCAGGCGCCCCACCCGUGCCCAGGCUUUCUGCAGCAUCCGUGCUGCAGUCACGGUCAGGGUGAGGGGCCGAGUCCUCUGCGCUCCCAGGGCUCAUCGGGGUGUUGGUGUUGGAGGCGGCUCUGUCCUGGGGGUCCACGCACUCUGAGCCCUGGUGACCGCUGAAGUUUUGAACCUCCGGGGUCCUCGUCCCCUCAUCCUGAAGCACAGCCUGCCGUCACAGCCCAAUCAUUCUAUGGUCCAGUCCUGUAGGUUCUAAGAAGUCCAAGAGUCUUCCCUCAUUGUAUGCUGUUUUCUCAGCUCUCU
RNAcentral lists this long non-coding RNA (3014 nucleotides) under Sus scrofa (pig). RNAcentral describes it as "lncRNA (ENSSSCG00035043880.1)". Lineage: Eukaryota; Metazoa; Chordata; Mammalia; Artiodactyla; Suidae. The record is from RNAcentral.